Glycine soja is the source of this 495-nucleotide long non-coding RNA. RefSeq lists it as uncharacterized. The transcript has 2 exons. The record is from RefSeq and is a predicted model, not a curated record. Lineage: Eukaryota; Viridiplantae; Streptophyta; Magnoliopsida; Fabales; Fabaceae.
AUGAACAAUCGAAAAGGUCCAGCAGGUGCUAGCACCAAUGACAGAAGUAAACUUUGUGCGUUGUGGACCAAUUUCUCAAUGUCAGUGGUAAAUCUUUGUUUCCCACCAUUUGUAGUGUCGAUGGCCAACAGUGAUGAUGUGUUGGCCGACACUGGCAUUUCAUUUCUAAUCGUCGUUUGAAGAGUAUAUCUCCUUAUGCAUUGAAGAUGAGAGGCAAUUUUGUAAGACUAAAUUGAUCAGUUUCAUAAUAGUGACGAGGACAUUGAAACUCAAGGACCGACACAAGGAUUAGGAGGACCUAUGACUAGAGCUAGAGUCAAAAAGCCAAAGGAGACCCUAAAACAAGUGGUAGCAACAAUUCUUGAAGUUGCACUUGCGGUGAAGGACAUUGAACCAAAAUUAUUUCAGUGCAUGAUUGUUAUUAAAGACCCAUGAGCUAGGUGUUGUAGCUGACUUUCUUCUUUUUUAUAAUUAAAUAAAAUUGUAUUUCUUUUA